AAGAAUUGAGUGAGCAAGGGUGCUUUCCUGAAAAAUGAUCUGCCAGCAGUGCAGGUGAAGGGCAUCGAGGCUCAAGUUCCAAAGGAUGACCAGAGAUUCCCUGAAAACACUGUUUGGCCUGAUGAAUUGAAGUGGGCCAACACCAACAGCCACCGGCGGCCGUCGCGGCCGUACCAGCCGCCGGUGGACGUCCACUCACAGCUGUCGGAGGUGUUCCGGGCGGUGCUGGGUCCCGCCGCCGGCGCCCACACGGCCGUCGGAGACCUGGCCGCCAAACACCGGCUGCUGACGGCCUGCGCCGACCGGCUGGGGCACCACGUCACCAACAGCCAGCUGCACAACAUCACCACGCUGGGUGACGUCAUUUCGUACUACUCGGAGCCGGUGACCACCAGCACUCCGCUGGAGCAGCUGAGUGAACAGGAACUCCCCAAGAACAUACACGUUCAGCUCGAGUACCUGCGCUUUCACCCCGAAACGGAUACUAAGUUUGGUGGUGUGACUGCCUUCCCGAAAAGUUCGACAGUGGUCUCCUCUAUAAAGUACAAGAAGAAGUACCGCGGCUACGCGACGCCCAAAUCCUGGCCAUACAAGUAGCCGCUAGUCAUUUGCAAGCUGUUGUAAUAUGUACCGUCUGUUGUGUGUGACAAUAUAGACCAUCUUUAUA
Molecule: unclassified non-coding RNA, 667 nt
Filed under: Amphibalanus amphitrite
Lineage: Eukaryota; Metazoa; Arthropoda; Thecostraca; Balanomorpha; Balanidae
Description: 39S ribosomal protein L50, mitochondrial-like, transcript variant X1
Source: RNAcentral